AUGAGGCGGCCUCCCAGAAGUCAGUCAGACCCACCAUCGCCUCAUUUUCUCUCAGCUCAAGUUCCCUCAUGUGGUUUGAGUCAAGGAGCUAAUGAGCAGCGAGAGAGCAGCUCGGGCCUGAAGCAGGAGGCAGAAGGGAUGCGGAAGAAGGGAGAUGCUGGGCUCCCUCGAGGCGGAGGAGACGGAGGCCGCCGUGCUGCUUGUUGGACCCCACGGAGGUGCCCUAUCUUUGUGGAUGAACUUGAGCCAAUCCUUGGUUCCCAGGGGCUCCCAGGGGCAGGAAACCCACCUGAAGUUGAAGGCUCCAGUAAGGUAAGCACUAUAGGUUUGACAGGUGAUAUUGCUCCCACUUUCAGAUGAUGACAUUCAGGACAGAGGGGUUCUUUGGUCAGCAAGAGUCAGUGCCAAUGAUGAUAGGUGAUGUUCUUGUGAUGGGUACUAUGCGGGCAUUGUUCUCAGCAUCCUUUUUUUUUUUUUCUUUCCAAUUUUAUUGGCAUAUAGCAUGGUAUCAGCCCAAGGUGUAAAGCAUAAUGCUUUGGUACCUAUAUAUAGUUGCUUUUCUUGUGAUGAGAACUUUUAAGGAUUUACUCUCUUAAUAACUUUCAAAUAUACAAUAGAGUAUUAUUAACUAUAGUCACCGUGCCAUACAUUACAUCUCUAGAAAUUGUUAUAAUGAAGUUUAUAACUUUUGACCAUCUUCACUCUUUUUUCUCCUCCCUCACCUCUGCCUCUGCCAACCCCCAAACUGUUCUCUGUAUCUGUGAAUUUGGUUUUUUAGAUUCCACAUAUAAGUGAGAUCAUACUUUGUCUUUUUCUGUGUUUUCUUAUUUCAUGUAGUACAACAACCUCCAGGUUUAUCUGUAUUGUCACAAAUGGCAGAAUUUCCUUCUUUUUUAUGGCCGAAUAAUAUUCCACUCUAUACAAAUACCAUAUCUUCUUUAUCCAUUCACCUGUCGAUGGACACUUAGGUUGUUUGCAUGUCUUAGCUGUGCUGCUAUAAAUGUGGGGGUGCAGAUAUCUUUUUGAGACAGUGAUUUCAUUUCCUUGUGCUCAGCAUCUUAUUUGAAUUAUGUCCUCCCUGUGAUGUUGGCACUUGAAUGAUCCCCAUUUUAUAGCUAGGUUAACUGAGACAAGAGAGUUUAAGUUACCUGUUUAAGGUUACAAAGCAUAUGUGAUGGUGCUGGAAUUCAAUUCCAGGUAGUCUGACAUCAGAGCAGGUAUCUGACCACCAUGCUUCUUUGAGUUCAACACCAGCCAGGUCUUCUGAUUCUAAGCCCACCCUUCUUUCCAAUACAUUGUAACAGUCAGUUCUUGGCAUAUAAAUGUCAAAUAUCAAGCCAAUAAUUUCGUAUGUAAGGAUUUCAAAGGUGUACCUCUGGGGAGCCUAUGAUCUCAGCCACACUGUAGGAAAUAAAUUGCUGGGGUUUAGUAUCUUCAAUUCAAAUCACAAACACAGGAUUAGCAGUGGGGCAGAAGUAUUAGUAAAAAUUCAUCUUAUUAAAUGAACAUCUGUUUCCUGGAAUUUGACAGCAUUCCCAAACACACAUGGCUAGGCUGGGAUGGCUCAACUGAGAAAGUUUAAGUUUAUUUUCUAAUGAGAAUUUCUUAGUUAUAAAAACUAUAGAGAUGAAGUCAGUGGACAAGCAGUCUACAUUUUAGUACCCCUAAAAAAAGAAAGCAUUAUUUUAUCUGCCCGACUCUAGAGCCAUUGUAUCGUUCCCCAGCCAAUAAGACACAGAUAGAUUGGGCAAGGAUAUCCAAGGCAUUUAGUGGAUAAAAGGCAGAGAAGUGGGCAUGGUCCAGACUAUUAGAAAAUGCCACUACCUUUCUUCUGCUUUUGGGAUUGGGGUUGAAUCCCACAGUAGACUGACUGCAAAAAAAUGUCUGCAGCUCUUCCAGCACUUGCAGUGUGACUCUGCCAACCAUCAGGAGAUGGAGUCUAUUUCCCCACCCCUUCAAUCUGGGGGCUGCCUUCUGACUUACUUGCCGAUAGAAUGUGACAGAGAGAUGCUAUAAUUAGGGUCUUGCAUGCUUCUCCUCUCUUGUUCCUCUGCCUUUACCACGAGGACAAUUCUGAACUAGGCUGCUGGGGGAUGAGACUCUGUUUGGAGCAGAGCUGAGUCACCCGAGAUCAGCCAUCGCCAGAACACUCUCCACCCAGUGGCAGAUACAUGAGCAAGCCCAGCUGACAUCAUCUGAGCCCAUCCCAGAUCAGCGUAGUUAUUCUGCCAGUUCCUAAAUCCAUGAGAAAUCGUAAAUGGUUGUGGUUUUAAGCCACUUACUAUCGGGCUUAUUUGUUAUGCAGCAUUAUUAUGGCAACAGAUAAUUGACAAAAGCACUAAAAGCAAAUCUCAUCAGUGACAGGACAUCUGUUCUCCAUCACACUCCCUUUCCUGCGUCCCUCCUUGCUUGUUUGGCAUUUGCUUCCAUUAGUGGCUGCACCCCCAGCCUCACCCAGGUCCAUAGAAAAUGUGAAGUCAGGCCAUGAGUUACCUAUGUGAGAAAGGUGGCCAAUGCUUAUGUCACACACUCGUGCUCCCUCAGCCUAGAAAACCAAGUCCCCACUGUGGAAGACGUCCAGACCUUCCUCCCUGGUUCCCAUUAUGCUCUUACUCUCAUCCGUAUCCUUUUUUUUUUUUUUUUUGUCUUUUUGCUAUUUCUUUGGGCCUCUCCCACGGCAUAUGGAGGUUCCCAGGCUAGGGGUCCAGUCGCGGAGCUGUAGCCUCCGGCCUACGCCAGAGACACAGCAACGCUGGAUCCGAGCGGUGUCUGCAACCUACACCACAGCUCACGGCAACGCCAGAUCCUUAACCCACUGAGCAAGGGCAGGGACCGAACCCACAACCUCAUGGUCCCUAGUCGGAUUCGUUAACGACUGCGCCACGACGGGAACUCCCGUAUCCAUUUAAUUCCCAACCCUGGCUCCACUUCCCAUUUAGAGAGCAGUAUAACAGAGUAUAGAACCAAGAAACCUGGAGUUGCACAGGUCUGGCUUCAAACUCUGGCUUUACCACUCAUUAGCUGUAUAGCCUUGGAAAAGUCCAAAAGUCCAUCAACUCACUGAGCAUCAAUUUCUUUGUGCAUAAGAUGGGAAUAAUGAUCUACCUAUAUAGAAUGACUCUGGGGAUGAAGUGACAUGUUAGGGACACAUUAAAUGCCUAAUAGUAGUUUUGAUGCCUAGUAAAUUGUAGUUUUGACUCUGGUUGAUUAUCUGUCUCUCCAGUUCCUAACUCGGGGCUGCCUUUCAGAAAUCGGAUUGGUUCAUACUGCCUGCUCCACCCCCAGCAGUAUUCCCAGGGAACCAGUACUUUCACGGGUUUAGGACUCCAGAGUCCAGUCUCUAGUUCCUGUGGGCACCCAGAUGGAUGGCCUAGUGUGCCCACUGCAGCUGGAUCAGGCAGUGGGACAGAACAGAAUCCAGGCCUUGUGCAAGCGAAGCUGUGGGCAGGCGCACCUCCCCUGCCCCCAAGCUCUGCUGACCGCUUUCGAUGAUUUUCACAUGAUGCAAUGCUCCCUCUGCCCUCGGCAGCCGUAUUAGGUUUCCUCCCAUUCCCAUACACUUCAGAGACUGCUGCCCCGCUCACAUUUCAGACGCUGACCCGCUCCUCUGCACUUUUCCCCUCUGCUUGUCUGGAGACCCGCAAUGAAAUUCNNNNNNNNNNNNNNNNNNNNNNNNNNNNNNNNNNNNNNNNNNNNNCAGGGUGACGCG
Molecule: long non-coding RNA, 3709 nt
Filed under: Sus scrofa (pig)
Lineage: Eukaryota; Metazoa; Chordata; Mammalia; Artiodactyla; Suidae
Description: lncRNA (ENSSSCG00005001341.1)
Source: RNAcentral